AAAGAGUCGGGCAGAGAAGGGGGGAUCGCACUUCUGAUGCUCUUUCCAAGCAGCUUUGGUGGAAAUAUUGGACAUGAUCCGCAUCUGCUGUAUACACUCAAUGCUUUGCAAGUUUUGGCCCUUUCUGACAAGUUAGAUGUUCUUGACAUCAAUAAGCCACAUAAGGCUCGCUAAUUCCGGAGUAGAAUUACGCAUAAAACAAUGAAGCACCAGGGAAGUAAAUUGAGAUGCACAACUGCCUGACCAAGCACCUUGCGACGAAGUGGCUCAUUUUUCUCUCUUCUUUCAGUUCAAAUCAGAAGAUUGUUGCAAAACGGAGAACGGGAACGUGGGAGAAAUCAUUAAGCUACAAGAUCUGGUGCUUCUGCUUCAACAUAUGACAAAGCCGUGUGUACUUUGUCCAGCCAAUUGUCCAGUCGGCCAUGCAGUAAUUUGACCUGUGGAAUCCCCAAAACUCUUGGCCGCACCCAUGAAACGUAUACUGUCCCCUCAACUUGAUCGAUUAUGCCCUCCACAAGAUGAACCUGAGUUGAGAUUCUAAUGAUUAGACUACUGUAAAAUAAGGUAAAUGCUUGAAUAUCGGUUUUCCAUUUAGUAUGCUAGAGCAGAGAAGGUGCAAGCAAUUACAACAUCCAUGUAUUUGCCAUUA
Molecule: long non-coding RNA, 649 nt
Organism: Syzygium oleosum
Lineage: Eukaryota; Viridiplantae; Streptophyta; Magnoliopsida; Myrtales; Myrtaceae
Exons: 3
Source: RefSeq, a predicted model, not a curated record